This 1343-nucleotide ribosomal RNA is filed under the name uncultured bacterium. Its description in RNAcentral is "16S ribosomal RNA". It matches the Rfam family "Bacterial small subunit ribosomal RNA", at positions 28 to 1378 of the family's 1533-position model. The record is from RNAcentral.
GACGAACGCUGGCGGCGUGCUUAACACAUGCAAGUCGAACGGAAAGGCCCUGCUUUUGUGGGGUGCUCGAGUGGCGAACGGGUGAGUAACACGUGAGUAACCUGCCCUUGACUUUGGGAUAACUUCAGGAAACUGGGGCUAAUACCGGAUAGGAGCUCCUGUUGCAUGGUGGGGGUUGGAAAGUUUCGGCGGUUGGGGAUGGACUCGCGGCUUAUCAGCUUGUUGGUGGGGUAGUGGCUUACCAAGGCUUUGACGGGUAGCCGGCCUGAGAGGGUGACCGGCCACAUUGGGACUGAGAUACGGCCCAGACUCCUACGGGAGGCAGCAGUGGGGAAUAUUGCACAAUGGGCGGAAGCCUGAUGCAGCAACGCCGCGUGCGGGAUGACGGCCUUCGGGUUGUAAACCGCUUUCGCCUGUGACGAAGCGUGAGUGACGGUAAUGGGUAAAGAAGCACCGGCUAACUACGUGCCAGCAGCCGCGGUGAUACGUAGGGUGCGAGCGUUGUCCGGAUUUAUUGGGCGUAAAGGGCUCGUAGGUGGUUGAUCGCGUCGGAAGUGUAAUCUUGGGGCUUAACCCUGAGCGUGCUUUCGAUACGGGUUGACUUGAGGAAGGUAGGGGAGAAUGGAAUUCCUGGUGGAGCGGUGGAAUGCGCAGAUAUCAGGAGGAACACCAGUGGCGAAGGCGGUUCUCUGGGCCUUUCCUGACGCUGAGGAGCGAAAGCGUGGGGAGCGAACAGGCUUAGAUACCCUGGUAGUCCACGCUGUAAACGGUGGGUACUAGGUGUGGGGUCCAUUCCACGGGUUCCGUGCCGUAGCUAACGCUUUAAGUACCCCGCCUGGGGAGUACGGCCGCAAGGCUAAAACUCAAAGGAAUUGACGGGGCCCCGCACAAGCGGCGGAGCAUGCGGAUUAAUUCGAUGCAACGCGUAGAACCUUACCUGGGUUUGACAUGGAUCGGGAGUGCUCAGAGAUGGGUGUGCCUCUUUUGGGGUCGGUUCACAGGUGGUGCAUGGCUGUCGUCAGCUCGUGUCGUGAGAUGUUGGGUUAAGUCCCGCAACGAGCGCAACCCUUGUUCACUGUUGCCAGCACGUUAUGGUGGGGACUCAGUGGAGACCGCCGGGGUCAACUCGGAGGAAGGUGGGGAUGACGUCAAGUCAUCAUGCCCCUUAUGUCCAGGGCUUCACGCAUGCUACAAUGGCUGGUACAGAGAGUGGCGAGCCUGUGAGGGUGAGCGAAUCUCGGAAAGCCGGUCUCAGUUCGGAUUGGGGUCUGCAACUCGACCUCAUGAAGUCGGAGUCGCUAGUAAUCGCAGAUCAGCAACGCUGCGGUGAAUACGUUCCCGGG